GACGAACGCUGGCGGCGUGCUUAACACAUGCAAGUCGAACGGAAAGGCCCUGCUUUUGUGGGGUGCUCGAGUGGCGGACGGGUGAGUAACACGUGAGUAACCUGCCCUUGACUUUGGGAUAACUUCAGGAAACUGGGGCUAAUACCGGAUAGGAGCUCCUGCUGCAUGGUGGGGGUUGGAAAGUUUCGGCGGUUGGGGAUGGACUCGCGGCUUAUCAGCUUGUUGGUGGGGUAGUGGCUUACCAAGGCUUUGACGGGUAGCCGGCCUGAGAGGGUGACCGGCCACAUUGGGACUGAGAUACGGCCCAGACUCCUACGGGAGGCAGCAGUGGGGAAUAUUGCACAAUGGGCGGAAGCCUGAUGCAGCAACGCCGCGUGCGGGAUGACGGCCUUCGGGUUGUAAACCGCUUUCGCCUGUGACGAAGCGUGAGUGACGGUAAUGGGUAAAGAAACACCGGCUAACUACGU
RNAcentral lists this ribosomal RNA (467 nucleotides) under uncultured bacterium. RNAcentral's name for it is "partial 16S ribosomal RNA". It matches the Rfam family "Bacterial small subunit ribosomal RNA", at positions 28 to 506 of the family's 1533-position model. The record is from RNAcentral.